GCAGACACAUUCCAGCCAAUCAGCAGCAGACCCUCCCUCCCAGACCCUUCCACCUCCUGGACAGCAUCCAUUUUACAUUCAUUGUGAAGCUGUAUUCUUAGUGAGCUGUCCAGGAGGUGGGAGGGUCUGGGAGGGAGGGUCUGCUGCUGAUUGGCUGGACUGUGUCU
RNAcentral lists this microRNA precursor (167 nucleotides) under Pelobates cultripes (western spadefoot toad). The record is from RNAcentral. Lineage: Eukaryota; Metazoa; Chordata; Amphibia; Anura; Pelobatidae.